Molecule: ribosomal RNA, 483 nt
Filed under: uncultured bacterium
Lineage: Bacteria
Description: bacterial SSU rRNA
Rfam family: Bacterial small subunit ribosomal RNA
Source: RNAcentral
UAGUCCACGCCGUAAACGAUGAGUGCUAAGUGUUAGAGGGUUUCCGCCCUUUAGUGCUGCAGCAAACGCAUUAAGCACUCCGCCUGGGGAGUACGGCCGCAAGGCUGAAACUCAAAGGAAUUGACGGGGGCCCGCACAAGCGGUGGAGCAUGUGGUUUAAUUCGAAGCAACGCGAAGAACCUUACCAGGUCUUGACAUCCUCUGACACCUCUGGAGACAGAGCUUUCCCCUUCGGGGGACAGAGUGACAGGUGGUGCAUGGUUGUCGUCAGCUCGUGUCGUGAGAUGUUGGGUUAAGUCCCGCAACGAGCGCAACCCUUGUCCUUAGUUGCCAGCAUUCAGUUGGGCACUCUAAGGAGACUGCCGGUGACAAACCGGNGGAAGGUGGGGAUGACGUCAAAGUCAUCAUGCCCUUAUGACCUGGGGCUACACACGUGCUACAAUGGCGGUUACAGUGGGCAGCUACACAGCGAUGUGAUGCUAA